GACGAACGCUGGCGGCGUGCUUAACACAUGCAAGUCGAACGGAAAGGCCCUGCUUUUGUGGGGUGCUCGAGUGGCGAACGGGUGAGUAACACGUGAGUAACCUGCCCUUGACUUUGGGAUAACUUCAGGAAACUGGGGCUAAUACCGGAUAGGAGCUCCUGCUGCAUGGUGGGGGUUGGAAAGUUUCGGCGGUUGGGGAUGGACUCGCGGCUUAUCAGCUUGUUGGUGGGGUAGUGGCUUACCAAGGCUUUGACGGGUAGCCGGCCUGAGAGGGUGACCGGGCACAUUGGGACUGAGAUACGGACCAGACUCCUACGGGAGGCAGCAGUGGGGAAUAUUGCACAAUGGGCGGAAGCCUGAUGCAGCAACGCCGCGUGCGGGAUGAAGGCCUUCGGGUUGUAAACCGCUUUCGCCUGUGACGAAGCGUGAGUGACGGUAAUGGGUAAAGAAGCACCGGCUAACUACGUG
RNAcentral lists this ribosomal RNA (468 nucleotides) under uncultured bacterium. RNAcentral's name for it is "partial 16S ribosomal RNA". It matches the Rfam family "Bacterial small subunit ribosomal RNA", at positions 28 to 507 of the family's 1533-position model. The record is from RNAcentral.